CCCAGACUCCUACGGGAGGCAGCAGUGGGGAAUAUUGCACAAUGGGGGAAACCCUGAUGCAGCGACGCCGCGUGAGUGAAGAAGUAUUUCGGUAUGUAAAGCUCUAUCAGCAGGGAAGAAAAUGACGGUACCUGAUUAAGAAGCCCCGGCUAACUACGUGCCAGCAGCCGCGGUAAUACGUAGGGGGCAAGCGUUAUCCGGAUUUACUGGGUGUAAAGGGAGCGUAGACGGUGAUGCAAGUCAGAAGUGAAAGCCCGGGGCUCAACUCCGGGACUGCUUUUGAAACUGUGUGACUGGAGUGCAGGAGAGGUAAGCGGAAUUCCUGGUGUAGCGGUGAAAUGCGUAGAUAUCAGGAGGAACACCAGUGGCGAAGGCGGCUUACUGGACUGUAACUGACGUUGAGGCUCGAAAGCGUGGGGAGCAAACAGGAUUAGAUACCCCAGUAAG
Molecule: ribosomal RNA, 447 nt
Filed under: uncultured bacterium
Lineage: Bacteria
Description: bacterial SSU rRNA
Rfam family: Bacterial small subunit ribosomal RNA
Source: RNAcentral